CGCGCAGGCGGCUUCGGAAGUCAUGGGUGAAAGCCCCAGGCUCAACCUGGGAAUGGCCUGUGAAACCACGGAGCUAGAGUGCUGGAGAGGAAAGCGGAAUUCCCAGUGUAGCGGUGAAAUGCGUAGAUAUUGGGAGGAACAUCUGUGGCGAAGGCGGCUUUCUGGACAGACACUGACGCUGAGGCGCGAAAGCUAGGGGAGCGAACG
Molecule: ribosomal RNA, 207 nt
Filed under: uncultured bacterium
Lineage: Bacteria
Description: partial 16S ribosomal RNA
Rfam family: Bacterial small subunit ribosomal RNA
Source: RNAcentral